UACGGAGGGGGCUAGCGUUGUUCGGAAUUACUGGGCGUAAAGCGCACGUAGGCGGCUUUGUAAGUUAGAGGUGAAAGCCUGGGGCUCAACUCCAGAACUGCCUUUAAAACUGCAUCGCUUGAAUCCAGGAGAGGUGAGUGGAAUUCCGAGUGUAGAGGUGAAAUUCGUAGAUAUUCGGAAGAACACCAGUGGCGAAGGCGGCUCACUGGACUGGUAUUGACGCUGAGGUGCGAAAGCGUGGGGAGCAAACAGG
This 253-nucleotide ribosomal RNA is filed under the name uncultured bacterium. RNAcentral describes it as "partial 16S ribosomal RNA". It matches the Rfam family "Bacterial small subunit ribosomal RNA", at positions 524 to 776 of the family's 1533-position model. The record is from RNAcentral.